AGGCAGCACUCUGGAGAGAUCCGCAAUACCUGGCAGGAAUGGUAGCGGGCGCCGAAGGUGAACACCCGCAAGCUCGGGUUAACUCUCAGGCAAAAGGACAGAAGGGCGGUG
Molecule: non-coding RNA, 111 nt
Rfam family: Glycine riboswitch aptamer
About the family: This family represents the bacterial glycine riboswitch. Glycine riboswitches usually consist of two metabolite-binding aptamers domains with similar structures in tandem.